Molecule: ribosomal RNA, 334 nt
Filed under: uncultured bacterium
Lineage: Bacteria
Description: bacterial SSU rRNA
Rfam family: Bacterial small subunit ribosomal RNA
Source: RNAcentral
CUAGCGACUUCAGAGUUUGAUCCUGGCUCAGGACGAACGCUGGCGGCGUGCCUAACACAUGCAAGUCGAACGGGGUUAACCUUCGGGUUAACUUAGUGGCGAACGGGUGAGUAACGCGUGAGAAACCUGCCUUUCAGUGGGGGACAACAGUUGGAAACGACUGCUAAUACCGCAUAAUGUUAUUUAGGGGCAUCCCUGAAUAACCAAAGAUUUAUUGCUGAAAGAUGGUCUCGCGUCUGAUUAGCUAGUUGGUGAGGUAACGGCUCACCAAGGCGACGAUCAGUAGCCGGUCUGAGAGGAUGAACGGCCACAUUGGGACUGAGAUACGGCCCAG